ACUUGUACUGUGAAACUGCGAAUGGCUCAUUAAAUCAGUUAUGGUUUCUUUGAUGGUACCUUGCUACUUGGAUACCCGUAGUAAUUCUAGAGCUAAUACAUGCAGGAGUGCCCGACUUCGGAAGGGCUGUAUUUAUUAGAUAAGAAACCUUCUCGGGUUCGCCCGGUUGUGUGCUGAGUCAUAAUAACUGCUCGAAUCGUACGGCUCUACGCCGGCGAUGGUUCAUUCAAAUUUCUGCCCUAUCAGCUUUCGAUGGUAGGAUAGAGGCCUACCAUGGCGUUAACGGGUAACGGAGAAUUAGGGUUCGAUUCCGGAGAGGGAGCCUGAGAAAUGGCUACCACAUCCAAGGAAGGCAGCAGGCGCGUAAAUUGCCCGAAUCCUGACACAGGGAGGUAGUGACAAGAAAUAACAAUACAGGGCUACUUCUAGUCUUGUAAUUGGAAUGAGUACAACUUACAUCUCUUCACGAGGAUCAACUGGAGGGCAAGUCUGGUGCCAGCAGCCGCGGUAAUUCCAGCUCCAGAAGCGUAUAUUAAAGUUGUUGCAGUUAAAACGCUCGUAGUCGGGUUUCGGGUCGGGCCGAGCGGUCUGCCGAUGGGUAUGCACUGUCUGGCGCGGCCUUCUUUCCGGAGACCGCGGCUACUCUUAACUGAGCGGGCGUGGGAGACGGAUCGUUUACUUUGAAAAAAUCAGAGUGUUUCAAGCAGGCAG
This 711-nucleotide ribosomal RNA is filed under the name uncultured marine Phaeocystaceae. RNAcentral's name for it is "SSU rRNA". It matches the Rfam family "Eukaryotic small subunit ribosomal RNA", at positions 72 to 787 of the family's 1831-position model. The record is from RNAcentral. Lineage: Eukaryota; Haptophyta; Phaeocystales; Phaeocystaceae.